RNAcentral lists this ribosomal RNA (440 nucleotides) under uncultured Eubacteriales bacterium. RNAcentral describes it as "bacterial SSU rRNA". It matches the Rfam family "Bacterial small subunit ribosomal RNA", at positions 338 to 795 of the family's 1533-position model. Lineage: Bacteria; Bacillati; Bacillota; Clostridia; Eubacteriales. The record is from RNAcentral.
CCUACGGGUGGCUGCAGUGGGGAAUAUUGGGCAAUGGAGGGAACUCUGACCCAGCAAUACCGCGUGAAGGAAGACGGCCUUCGGGUUGUAAACUUCUUUAGACAGGGAAGAUAAUGACAUUACCUGUAGAAUAAGCCACGGCUAACUACGUGCCAGCAGCCGCGGUAAUACGUAGGUGGCAAGCGUUAUCCGGAAUUACUGGGUGUAAAGGGCGCGUAGGCGGGUAGAUAAGUUAGAUGUGAAAACCUGGGGCUCAACUCCAGACUUGCAUCUAAAACUGUUUAUCUUGAGUGUCAGAGGGGAAAGUGGAAUUCCUAGUGGAGCGGUAAAAUGCGUAGAUAUUAGGAGGAACAUCGGCGGCGAAGGCGACUUUCUGGCUGACAACUGACGCUGAGGCGCGAAAGCGUGGGUAGCGAACAGGAUUAGAUACCCUAGUAGUC